RNAcentral lists this ribosomal RNA (408 nucleotides) under uncultured Clostridium sp. RNAcentral describes it as "bacterial SSU rRNA". It matches the Rfam family "Bacterial small subunit ribosomal RNA", at positions 986 to 1394 of the family's 1533-position model. Lineage: Bacteria; Bacillati; Bacillota; Clostridia; Eubacteriales; Clostridiaceae. The record is from RNAcentral.
AUCAUUUUGACUAUGCCUAAUCGCAUCUUUCCCUUCGGGGACAGAAGUGACAGGUGGUGCAUGGUUGUCCUCAGCUCGUGUCGUGAGAUGUUGGGUUAACUCCCGCAACGAGCGCAACCCUUGCCUUUAGUUGCCAGCAUUAAGUUGGGCACUCUAGAGGGACUGCCAGGGAUAACCUGGAGGAAGGUGGGGAUGACGUCAAAUCAUCAUGCCCCUUAUGCUUAGGGCUACACACGUGCUACAAUGGGUGGUACAGAGGGCAGCCAAGUCGUGAGGCGGAGCUAAUCCCUUAAAGCCAUUCUCAGUUCGGAUUGUAGGCUGAAACUCGCCUACAUGAAGCUGGAGUUACUAGUAAUCGCAGAUCAGAAUGCUGCGGUGAAUGCGUUCCCGGGUCUUGUACACACCGAA